UACAGAGGUCUCAAGCGUUGUUCGGAUUUACUGGGCGUAAAGGGUGCGUAGGUGGUUGGGUAAGUCUGAUGUGAAAUCUCCGGGCUCAACCCGGAAAUGGCAUUGGAUACUAUUCGACUAGAGGGUUGGAGGGGGGACUGGAAUACUUGGUGUAGCAGUGAAAUGCGUAGAUAUCAAGUGGAACACCAGUGGCGAAGGCGAGUCCCUGGACAACUCCUGACACUGAGGCACGAAAGCUAGGGGAGCAAACAGG
RNAcentral lists this ribosomal RNA (253 nucleotides) under uncultured bacterium. RNAcentral's name for it is "partial 16S ribosomal RNA". It matches the Rfam family "Bacterial small subunit ribosomal RNA", at positions 524 to 776 of the family's 1533-position model. The record is from RNAcentral.